Triticum urartu is the source of this 1349-nucleotide long non-coding RNA. RefSeq lists it as uncharacterized. The record is from RefSeq and is a predicted model, not a curated record. NCBI's taxonomy places the organism in Eukaryota, Viridiplantae, Streptophyta, Magnoliopsida, Poales, Poaceae.
CCCACCGAAAAAGAGAAAAGAAACUCAUCCCGACCAACACUUUCUUCCCCACCCGCAGCACGCCGUGGCGUCCUCCUCUCUCCCUCUCAGGGCGCCGCCGCGCCAUCCCCUCUCCACCACGCGCCGCCACGCUCUCCCACUCUCCCCCAGUGCGCCGCCGCACCCUCCCCUCUCCCCCAGCGCGCCGCCGCACCCUUCCUUCUCCCCCAGCUCGCCGCCCCGCCCCCACCUUCUCCCUCAGCUUCGGUCGCCGCCCCCACAUUCUUCCUCGGCUCCAGCCCCGAGCACAACCUGGCACCGAUGGCCCCGACCAUGAUCUGCGUGGAUCUACUGCUGCUGCGACCAACCCAAGUACUAUUUGUCCUGCUCCUCUCCUCCUUUCCGUCACCGGCCAUUCAUCCAGGUCAGCUCUCCACCGACAGGCCCCGGUCGCUAAUCACCUCGACAGCCUCUGGUCGUGGUGUUCUCCUACCUGUGGUUGCCCUCGAUCACGAGCUCGUCCACCACAAUCGCUGGUAGCCGUCCAAGUUGAGCUCUGACCACAGUCGGAGCAGAACUUCAGCCACCAUCUUAACUUAACGGUGGAAGUUGCUCACUCAUCGAGCUCAACCACGGCCAAACAAAAAAACACCCCAUCUCCUCCUAGCAGAUGCUUGCCCCAUCCUCAGUUGCUGUGCACCUCCCUCCUGCCGGUUGCCGCCUCCAGCCCGACGUCCCUGCCCCCGGCGCCUCCACGCCCAGACCCCCUUCCUCUGUUCCUCAAAAAUCCGUCAAUAGGAAAGCCUCAAAAACCCAUCAGUUGGAAAGCCGUUCAACGUCCGUGGCUGAGAACGUCCAUGAGCUCCUCUGUUAUCAGUUCCUUCGAUCGACAGUGGGUUGUGGCUCCUUGGUGAGCAUACCUUUUGUCCCUAUUGUCCAGUCAUUGCCUGGAGUAAGGAUGGUUGUGCAUACACGUGCGUCAGUGCACUAUCGGCUAUAACAAAAGGCUACACAACUUUUCUCAGAAGUCCAACUCUUGUAUGCAAGCCAACUGAGAUUUUUCUUAAUCUGUGAUAUGUGCUCAGUUGAUGUUCGUGCAAAUGUUGUCGCAGCUGGGUGCAGCCCGCGAAGGGGCUAUGCAGCAGGUGCACGCAGCAAUAAGGGAGAAGUAGACACGAAGCAGGUUAGGAGGUGUGUGUGCGAGAGAUGAUACUGAACUUGUACUGCUGUUGUACUCGCGUGUGAAAGAUUGUUUUUUUCCUGGUCAUUCUUGUACUGCCUGCCAUGAAAAACCUGAUGACAGAAUACUGAAUAUUUGUGUAUUCUAUCAUCACUUCAUAGAGAAGAAAUUAUUUUUUCUUCAGUGUGUA